RNAcentral lists this small RNA (26 nucleotides) under Bombyx mori (domestic silkworm). RNAcentral's name for it is "ovarian small RNA-10414". The record is from RNAcentral. Lineage: Eukaryota; Metazoa; Arthropoda; Insecta; Lepidoptera; Bombycidae.
AACGUUAUUACUUGACGCUGGCUAAU